RNAcentral lists this ribosomal RNA (513 nucleotides) under uncultured bacterium. RNAcentral's name for it is "partial 16S ribosomal RNA". It matches the Rfam family "Bacterial small subunit ribosomal RNA", at positions 28 to 507 of the family's 1533-position model. The record is from RNAcentral.
GACGAACGCUGGCGGCGUGCUUAACACAUGCAAGUCGAACGAAAAGAGGGAAAGAGCUUGCUCUUUCCGGAAUUGAGUGGCAAACGGGUGAGUAACACGUAAACAACCUGCCUUCAGGAUGGGGACAACAGACGGAAACGACUGCUAAUACCGAAUAAGUUCCAAGGGCCGCAUGGCCCAUGGAAGAAAAGGUGGCCUCUACCUGUAAGCUAUCGCCUGAAGAGGGGUUUGCGUCUGAUUAGCUGGUUGGAGGGGUAACGGCCCACCAAGGCGACGAUCAGUAGCCGGUCUGAGAGGAGGAACGGCCACACUGGAAUCGAGACACGGUCCAGACGCCUACGGGAGGCAGCAGUGGGGAAGCUUCCGCAAUGGGCGAAAGCCUGACGGAGCAACGCCGCGUGAGUGAUGACGGCCUUCGGGUUGUAAAACUCUGUGAUCCGGGACGAAAAGGCAGAGUGCGAAGAACAAACGGCAUUGACGGUACCGGAAAAGCAAGCCACGGCUAACUACGUG